UUAGGAAUCUUCCGCAAUGGGCGAAAGCCUGACGGAGCGACGCCGCUUGCGGGACGAAGCCCCUCGGGGUGUAAACCGCUGAACCUGGGACGAAAACCCCCACAAGGGGACUGACGGUACCAGGGUAAUAGCGCCGGCCAACUCCGUGCCAGCAGCCGCGGUAAUACGGAGGGCGCAAGCGUUACCCGGAUUCACUGGGCGUAAAGGGCGUGUAGGCGGCCCGGGGCGUCCGGCGUUAAAGCCCACGGC
Molecule: ribosomal RNA, 249 nt
Filed under: uncultured bacterium
Lineage: Bacteria
Description: partial 16S ribosomal RNA
Rfam family: Bacterial small subunit ribosomal RNA
Source: RNAcentral